Molecule: long non-coding RNA, 909 nt
Organism: Cannabis sativa
Lineage: Eukaryota; Viridiplantae; Streptophyta; Magnoliopsida; Rosales; Cannabaceae
Exons: 4
Source: RefSeq, a predicted model, not a curated record
UAGUAAAGGGCUUGUUCGGUAACCAUUUUAAAAAUGGUUUUCUGUUUUUCUAAUAAAAAAUUCAGCAAUGAAAAAUAAAAUGUUGUUCGGUAAAAUAUUUUUGUUUUUUGUUUUUUUAAUUUAAAAUCAAAUUUAUGUAAAUUUUAAAAACAGAUUUUUUACGAUUUUAAAAACAAAUUUUUCUUUUUCUCGCUUCUCUCUCGCUCUCCCUUAAUUUUGCUAUUUGAAGCUCAUCUACGAUCUUCAAUGGCUUCAGUUCGGUUCAGAUUCGAAGCUUGCCUUGGAGUGUCGUUUCUAAAGUAUUCAAUAGUUGUUUGGAAAACCGAAACAGUAAAUUGGCAGAGAAAGUUGCAGUUGUUGGAUUCUUUGUGGCAGUACCUGACUUUUUGAAGGAAGAUUCUUAUGUUCCUUCAAAUGUUAAUAGACAUAUAAAAGUUCAAAUUCAAGAUCAUAGCACAGUUGGUUCAAGUUUUUUCUAUUCAUAAUUGGAGUUAUAGAUGAGACUUAUAUUUCUGCUCAUGCCUUCGUAUGAUAUGAAAAUACAGAAGUACAUUAUGAUUGUUUGCUGUGGGAUUCACAACUUCAUAAGGGCGAAUGCAGAAAAGGAUAUAUUUUGAUGGAGAUGAAGAGAUUUUUGAAGUACAAGAUAUUACUAUACAAAGCAAGCACCCACGUAACUUUGAAUAACAGUAUUGAGUUUAGCAUUUCAAGAGAUCAAAGUCAUGAAAUAGCUAAUAUCCGUGAUAAAAUUCCUGAUCAUAUACAGGGAGUAAAUCAACGAUAAAGAUAAUGAGUGAAGUAUAUUAACUGUUAUGACUUUUUUAAUUUUUUUUUCAAGAUUGGACAAUUAUUAGUUCAUGGUUUUGUCAAUUUUGUAUUAUAAAUAAUGGGUCUUGUGAUUUCAGAUUA